GACGAACGCUGGCGGCGUGCUUAACACAUGCAAGUCGAACGGUGAACCAGAGCUUGCUCUGGGGAUCAGUGGCGAACGGGUGAGUAACACGUGGGCAACCUGCCCCAGACUCUGGGAUAACCUCGGGAAACCGAUGCUAAUACCGGAUACGACCACUUCGGACAUCCGACGGUGGUGGAAAGUUUUUCGGUCUGGGAUGGGCCCGCGGCCUAUCAGCUAGUUGGUGGGGUAAUGGCCUACCAAGGCGACGACGGGUAGCCGGCCUGAGAGGGCGACCGGCCACACUGGAACUGAGACACGGUCCAGACUCCUACGGGAGGCAGCAGUGGGGAAUAUUGCACAAUGGGCGAAAGCCUGAUGCAGCGACGCCGCGUGAGGGACGACGGCCUUCGGUUGUAACCUACUUUCAGCAGGACGAAGCGAAAGUAGACUGUACCUGCAGAAGAAGAC
RNAcentral lists this ribosomal RNA (450 nucleotides) under uncultured bacterium. Its description in RNAcentral is "bacterial SSU rRNA". It matches the Rfam family "Bacterial small subunit ribosomal RNA", at positions 28 to 492 of the family's 1533-position model. The record is from RNAcentral.